AUUGAACGCUGGCGGCAUGCUUUACACAUGCAAGUCGAACGGUAACAGGCCUUCGGGUGCUGACGAGUGGCGAACGGGUGAGUAAUGCAUCGGAACGUACCCAGAGGUGGGGGAUAACGCAGCGAAAGCUGUGCUAAUACCGCAUGUGAUCUGAGGAUGAAAGCGGGGGACCGCGCAGCAAUGUUUGGCCUCGCGCCUUUGGAGCGGCCGAUGUCGGAUUAGCUAGUUGGUGGGGUAAAGGCCUACCAAGGCGACGAUCCGUAGCUGGUCUGAGAGGACGAUCAGCCACACUGGGACUGAGACACGGCCCAGACUCCUACGGGAGGCAGCAGUGGGGAAUUUUGGACAAUGGGCGCAAGCCUGAUCCAGCAAUGCCGCGUGCGGGAAGAAGGCCUUCGGGUUGUAAAGCGCUUUUGGCAGGAACGAAACGGUGUCCGCUAAUACCGGGCGCUAAUGACGGUACCUGCAGAAUAAGCACCGGCUAACUACGUG
RNAcentral lists this ribosomal RNA (492 nucleotides) under uncultured bacterium. Its description in RNAcentral is "partial 16S ribosomal RNA". It matches the Rfam family "Bacterial small subunit ribosomal RNA", at positions 29 to 507 of the family's 1533-position model. The record is from RNAcentral.